Ooceraea biroi (clonal raider ant) is the source of this 1163-nucleotide long non-coding RNA. RefSeq lists it as uncharacterized. The record is from RefSeq and is a predicted model, not a curated record. Lineage: Eukaryota; Metazoa; Arthropoda; Insecta; Hymenoptera; Formicidae.
AACAGACCGAUUGAUCUUUGGUCAGAGCACAGGAAUUAUAUCAAUUCGCUGAUGCCUUGCGUUUACGGCAAAGACAAGUGAUAAUAAAGUGAAAUAAAAAAAAUUGCAUCUCAGCAGUAACAUCGCGUCAAAAUCAGCUUCGAUUGAACGACGCAAUCUUUACAUGAUUUUAUAUUACGACGUUAUUACGUAACGUAACGUAACUCGAACAACAUGUGAGUAAUUACAAUGUAGUAGUAAUAUAUCAGCUAUAGAUACAUGUAUAUAUAUCUCCAUAGAAAACAAGGCAUACAUAAAUCUAAUAAAAAUAUAAAUGGUUUAUUCUAUGAUAUGUAGAAAAACGAUACUAAGCUAAGUAAGCGACAGAUGAUAGAUAUUAAAAAUAAAAAAAUCUUGUGAAGAAACAAUAUAUGAGCGUAUUAAAAAUAUGGAGUUGCGGCAUGGCACAGAUACAUUUUUCAGCACAUCGUUGUUCGAAACCAUUGAGAUACAUUGUGUACAGCGGCGGUAUAUAUCACGUUUCUAACGAGUACAGAGUAAGGCACACAUACACACUCCGUUAAUGUCAAAGGCCCGAUGUACUGUCUUCUUCCGGAAAUAAUGUAACAUAUCUGUGUGCUAUGUAUCUGUGUACCAUGGUGAUUUCCUUUCAUGAAUGAGAAAGAAUUUCUUUUUCUUUGCACACUCGCAUUUAUCGUUAGAGAAUUUUCAAUUCCUGAAAUUUCGCUCUAUUUUCAUGUCAAACAUCUGUUGAUUCUCCUUGUGCAGUACAUUUAAACGCAUCUGUGCCAGCAUAUAAUGUGUGUAAAUUUCUCGCUUGUCGACAUGCAGUUCAAAUACCCACCACAAAACAGUAUGCAAAAAUACAUAAACAAUCAAUUAUCGCGAUUUUUGCUUGUAGAAAGGGUGUCAUGCAAUCUAUCGCAAGUUGUUGAAUCGUUCUGCAUAACUUUACGAUAUUUAUAAUCUAUUAAAAAAUCAUAUCAUUAAAUGUAUAACAUAGCUAACUAUUCGCAUAUCCUAUCAAAUUAAAACGUAUGUUCUCAAAUUUUCGUAUUACGUUACGCUUACGUAUACGGAGACAUCUACGUCACUAACAUUAUAUCAUUCAAUCUGUUAUAUAAUCGAUAAAGAAAUGAUUCAACUAAAGUAUCUUACAAAAA